AUGGCCAUGGGCGCGCACUGCUCGUGGUUGCUGAGAUCCCUCCUGCCGUCGCUGUGGGAGGCGGAGGUGGCCAUCUCCGCCGUGGCACUUCUCGCCGCCGCCGUCGCGCUGCUCCUCAUCCUCGAGGAGACCGCGUCCGCCACCUCCCCCUCCUCUCCCACGACUAAGAGCUAUGACCGAGACCGAGGGGGGCGGAGGCGGGGCAGCGCAAAGGGAAGCAGGGCGGCCGCUGAACCAGGAUGCGCCGGCGACGAGAUCACUCUUGUGGCUGACAGCUCUCGCUCUCGGAGCACCACCGCGUACGUGAUCAAGCUGGAGCUGGUGUCUGCCAAGUACCUGAUCGGCGCCAACCUGAACGGGACCGCCGAACCCUACGCCGUCAUCUCCCUCGGCGGGCAGAAGCGCUUCAGUCCCAUGGUGCCUAGCCAAAGAAAUCCCGUGUGGGGGGAGGCGUUCAGCUUCCUGGCCAGAGAACUUCCAGCUGAGGUAACCAUAACAGUUUAUGACUGGGACAAUGUAUGCAAACGCAAAGUCAUCGGAUCUGUCACUAUAGCUAUCCUCGCCGAAGACGAAACAGGAGCCGUUUGGUACGACCUGGACAGCAGAUCUGGUCAGAUCUGCUUGCGUAUUAGCUCAAAGAAAGUGUCGUCGACUUCUGACAGCUUCUUUAAGCAGUAUACCGGAGCCAAGUCCCAGAGAAAGAUGAUACUCACUAGGCAACGGUUGGCGAUGACUGAAGACAGUGGUCCUCUGCACGCUACAAUCGAGUUUCCUCAUGACGAAAUUGUUCACCACAGUUAUUCUUGUGCUCUGGAGAGGUCUUUCUUGCGGUAUGGGCGUAUGUGCAUCUCCUCAUGGCAUCUGUGCUUCCAGUCACACGUAUUCUCCAAGCAAUUAAAUGUGAUCAUUCCGUUACAAGACAUAUAUGAGAUAAGGAGGAGCCAGCACUCCCUUAUAAACCCAGCUAUUACUAUAUUUCUUCAUACCGACGCAGGUGGUCAUGGAGUAUCUCCAUUGUGCUGCCAAAAUGGAAGCGUAAGGUACAAGUUCACAUCCUUCUGGAACAGAAACCGUACAUUUCGAGCUCUAGAGACAGCGCUGCAGUGUUACCGAGCAACAUUGGAAGCCGAAAAGCAGGUGGGUGCACAUUUGCUUCUUAAAGGAGAGAGUAUGAAUGUUAUUAGCAGCAGAACAGACAACAUAAAGACAGAAAACAGAAGAAUUGGACUGACUAUCACAUUUCAACCUUUCGUCAAUGAACAUGUUCUUGUAGACAUAACCAGUAAUACCUUCCCUGGUACACCUGAGAAGUUUUUCACUGUGAUACUAGGUGAUGAUGCAAUGUUUUUCCAGCAGUACCGAAAUGCACGAAAAGAUACAGAUUUAAAGCUGAGUAAGUGGCAUGUCUCAGAUGAGUACGGUGGAAAUGUUCGCGAAGUAACUUUCAGGUCACUAUGCCACAGUCCUUUGUGUCCUCCAGACACUGCGGUAACUGAAUUGCAGCAUGUUUUUUUCUCAAACGACAAAAGAAACCUGAUCUAUGAAACAAAGCAGCAAGCACACGAUGUCCCAUUUGGUUCUUACUUUGAGAUCCACUGCAGGUGGUCUCUAAGGACAACCUCUAGUUCAACAUGUCAAGUGGAUAUAAAGAUUGGUGUGAACAUGAAGAAGUGGUGCAUUUUGCAAUCAAAAAUAAAAUCUGGAGCAACUGAGGAGUACAGGAGAGAAGUUUGCAAGAUUUUGGAGGCUGCCAAUGAUUAUGCCGUCAAAGCUGAGUCAAAUGGGCCAAAUAGGGAAGAUAUUGUGGUGACAUCUUCAGCAUAA
This 1824-nucleotide ribosomal RNA is filed under the name Triticum aestivum (bread wheat). RNAcentral's name for it is "partial small subunit ribosomal RNA". Lineage: Eukaryota; Viridiplantae; Streptophyta; Magnoliopsida; Poales; Poaceae. The record is from RNAcentral.